RNAcentral lists this ribosomal RNA (229 nucleotides) under uncultured bacterium. RNAcentral's name for it is "partial 16S ribosomal RNA". It matches the Rfam family "Bacterial small subunit ribosomal RNA", at positions 568 to 796 of the family's 1533-position model. The record is from RNAcentral.
UACGUAGGCGGAAAAUUAAGUCAGUAGUGAAAUCCUGCAGCUUAACUGUAGAACUGUUAUUGAUACUGGUUUUCUUGAAUAUAGUUGAGGUAGGCGGAAUGUGUAAUGUAGCGGUGAAAUGCUUAGGUAUUACACAGAACACCGAUUGCGAAGGCAGCUUACUAAGCUAUGAUUGACGCUGAGGUACGAAAGCGUGGGGAGCGAACAGGAUUAGAUACCCUGGUAGUCC